RNAcentral lists this ribosomal RNA (377 nucleotides) under uncultured bacterium. RNAcentral's name for it is "bacterial SSU rRNA". It matches the Rfam family "Bacterial small subunit ribosomal RNA", at positions 521 to 896 of the family's 1533-position model. The record is from RNAcentral.
UAAGACGGAGGAUGCAAGCGUUAUCCGGAAUUAUUGGGCGUAAAGCGUCCGCAGGUGGCUGUUCAAGUCUGCUGUCAAAGCGCAGAGCUUAACUCUGUACAGGCGGUGGAAACUGAAGAGCUAGAGUAUGGUAGGGGUAGAGGGAAUUCCCGGUGUAGCGGUGAAAUGCGUAGAUAUCGGGAAGAACACCAGUGGCGAAAGCGCUCUACUGGGCCAUAACUGACACUGAGGGACGAAAGCUAGGGGAGCGAAAGGGAUUAGAUACCCCUGUAGUCCUAGCCGUAAACGAUGGACACUAGGUGUUGGCCGUAUCGACCCGGUCAGUGCCGUAGCUAACGCGUUAAGUGUCCCGCCUGGGGAGUACGCUCGCAAGAGUG